RNAcentral lists this transfer RNA (77 nucleotides) under Caudoviricetes sp. RNAcentral describes it as "tRNA-Cys". It matches the Rfam family "tRNA". Rfam says of the family: Transfer RNA (tRNA) molecules are approximately 80 nucleotides in length. The record is from RNAcentral. Lineage: Duplodnaviria; Heunggongvirae; Uroviricota; Caudoviricetes.
GGCUAUGUAGCUCAAUUGGUAGAGCAGGGCGCACCCCGUCUAUUGCGCUGGUUCAAUUCCAGCCAUAGCAAGUCCGA